UGCAGCGUGGCUCAGUGGAAAGAGCACGGGCUUGGGAGUCAGAGGUCAUGGGUUCGAAUCCCAGCUCUGCCA
RNAcentral lists this transfer RNA (72 nucleotides) under Ornithorhynchus anatinus (platypus). It matches the Rfam family "tRNA". From Rfam's summary of the family: Transfer RNA (tRNA) molecules are approximately 80 nucleotides in length. Their secondary structure includes four short double-helical elements and three loops (D, anti-codon, and T loops). Further hydrogen bonds mediate the characteristic L-shaped molecular structure. tRNAs have two regions of fundamental functional importance: the anti-codon, which is responsible for specific mRNA codon recognition, and the 3' end, to which the tRNAs corresponding amino acid is attached (by aminoacyl-tRNA synthetases). tRNAs cope with the degeneracy of the genetic code in two manners: having more than one tRNA (with a specific anti-codon) for a particular amino acid; and 'wobble' base-pairing, i.e. permitting non-standard base-pairing at the 3rd anti-codon position. The record is from Rfam by way of RNAcentral. Lineage: Eukaryota; Metazoa; Chordata; Mammalia; Monotremata; Ornithorhynchidae.